GAUGAACGCUGGCGGCGUGCCUAAUACAUGCAAGUCGAGCGAACAGACGAGGAGCUUGCUCCUCUGACGUUAGCGGCGGACGGGUGAGUAACACGUGGAUAACCUACCUAUAAGACUGGGAUAACUUCGGGAAACCGGAGCUAAUACCGGAUAAUAUAUUGAACCGCAUGGUUCAAUAGUGAAAGACGGUUUUGCUGUCACUUAUAGAUGGAUCCGCGCCGCAUUAGCUAGUUGGUAAGGUAACGGCUUACCAAGGCGACGAUGCGUAGCCGACCUGAGGGGUGAGUGGCCCACAUGGAAACUAGACCACGGCCCAAACUCCUAGGGGGGGAGGAGGUGGGAAAUUUUCCGAAAGGGGGGAAGCCCGGAGGGGCAAACCCGCGGGAGGGAAGAAAGGUUUUGGAUUGGAAAAACCUUUUUUUAGGGAAGAAAAAAAUUGUAAGGACAAUUGCCCGGCUUGAAGGGUACCAAAUAGAAAAGCCCGGGCAAAUUAGGG
RNAcentral lists this ribosomal RNA (496 nucleotides) under uncultured bacterium. RNAcentral's name for it is "partial 16S ribosomal RNA". It matches the Rfam family "Bacterial small subunit ribosomal RNA", at positions 28 to 506 of the family's 1533-position model. The record is from RNAcentral.